UACGGAGGAUUCAAGCGUUAUCCGGAUUUACUGGGUUUAAAGGGUGCGUAGGCGGUCGGAUAAGUUAGAGGUGAAAUCCCGGGGCUCAACUUCGGAGUUGCCUCUGAUACUGUUCGGCUAGAGAGUAGUUGCGGUAGGCGGAAUGUAUGGUGUAGCGGUGAAAUGCUUAGAGAUCAUACAGAACACCGAUUGCGAAGGCAGCUUACCAAGCUACUUCUGACGUUGAGGCACGAAAGCGUGGGGAGCAAACAGG
Molecule: ribosomal RNA, 253 nt
Filed under: uncultured bacterium
Lineage: Bacteria
Description: partial 16S ribosomal RNA
Rfam family: Bacterial small subunit ribosomal RNA
Source: RNAcentral